Molecule: non-coding RNA, 2808 nt
Organism: Oryza sativa Japonica Group (Japanese rice)
Lineage: Eukaryota; Viridiplantae; Streptophyta; Magnoliopsida; Poales; Poaceae
Source: RefSeq, a predicted model, not a curated record
GCCCCCCAUCCCCUCCUCCUCGCUGCGCCGCAUCCCCAUCCCCAUCCCGAUCCCGCCCAACUCGCGCCUCCUUCUCCGGUCGUCCUCCCUCCGCAUCGUGCCCCCAUCGCUCAUCUUCGAGUUGCCCCCUCCCUCUCCAUCGCGCCGCCUACCACCGAUUCCCUGCCGCAUCUGCCCGUUGCCCUCGCGCCCGGCCGCAUCUGCUGCCCAUCUCCUCCUGCCCUAGCCGCCCGCGCCUCCUCCAUCCAUGUCGGCGCCGCGGCUCUUCCCAACAUCCUCAGCCGCCUCCCCAACUCAAAAUCCCGUCUCAAUCCACCCCCAAAUCCCGGCUUCCAAUCACCCCAUCCCGUGGCGGACAUCGUUGGAGCGAGUGUUGUCGUCGUCGGAUCAUCGGGUUGACGUCUUCAAUCAUCUCCCCCUCUGCCAUCGCCAGCGGUGCCUCCCUCCACUGCCGCCGCUUCGGCGUCGUGCUCGUGCGGCCUGGGAGCGGGUGUAGCGGCGGGGUCGGUGUCGGGUGGUCGCAUGAAGCACAACAAGGAGGAAUUUUGUCAUCAGCCACUAGAUUGCUUAUGUUAAGGGCAUGGCGACCUGGAGGUGCACUGUGCCCAUGUACUUUGUCAGCCCAGUUGGCGGCGACCCAAAUCCCAGUGGUGGUGAUCCUCACAGUGAUGAAUCCUUUUGGUGCUCAUAUGGGUUGUUUACCAUCGAUGGUAUGCGAACUACCAUCAAAUUCACAAAAUAUGUGGCCACAAGUUCAGUUCUAUCAGAUACUAACUUACUCCAUGGCAACUGAAAGUCUAAAACACUCUAGGAUUUUUAAGUUCAUUAGCAUUUAGUGGUCAACUUAGAUGAACAUUGGUCAGCUCCUAAGAUUUGCUCUAUGGACCAUCUAUGUGAUCCUAAUCCAUGCAAGAAUUGGGACUAAUUAAUUGAUUGCUCCUGAACUGAUCUUCAGAAAAUACUCUACUGUUAGGUGUUAGAUUCAGAAAUGCUCUGCUUUUCUUUUUGUUGAAAUUAGUUCCGAUUUGAAGAAAUCAUGUUUGACUUUUAGUAAUUGAAUUUAGUGGCAGAGAAAUUAGAAUAGUAACCUUGUUAACUACUUUUUCUCAGAAAGUAUUUAGGCCCUUCAUCAGUGUAUUUGCAGACCUUGCUGAAACUAUCAGUCCAUACCUGCUGCAAGGAGAAAAUGUUUCUGCCUUGCUGCCGACAGAUGUUCUGUAAUUAUGCUCGACAUUGGCUGUUAGGACUUGGUUUUUGAUAUGGUAAAAAAUUUCUUCUUGUCACUAAAGUACUACUGAAUUUAACUGCAUGUUAGCUGUACACUAUCAAAUAUUAUAUCACAACAAAUGGUUUUUAUAGCUACAUGCAUUCCACAGACAUACUUACUUCAGUAGAAAUGUGCCAUGGCCAUUUCCUUUUUUUCAAAAUCUCAUGUUUGUCAUUUGGAUUGCGUCUCGAACCUUUUCAUGGUCAUGAAUUGGUAACAACCGUUGAUUAAGUUUUUGUCUGAUGCUCUUAGCUAGAACAUUUUGGACUAAUACGAGGAAAACAUAUUUGAAAAAGUUGGCAUUUUGGACAAGGGGAUAAUGAUGAACCUUUUUUUUUCUUUGUUGCAUCUUCAUUUAAAGUGUACGAAGGAAGCUAAAAACACAUUUAUGAAAACUGAGGCUUGCCUACUGAAUGAAAAAAAAGGUCCAUUCACAUUAUUCACCAAUCAGUUUAGCAAUUGGUUGUCACCCAGGAUCGUCCCCUACAGUUCAUACAGGACCCAAUAGAAAUUGAGCUUUCUGGUGACAAAUUGAGGUAUAAAAAGCAUGUAGUUAUCCUUCUUGUUAAGAUAGUAGGUAUAAGAAGCAUAUAGUUAUUUAUCUAAUUAAGAUAGUUCUGUUUCACUACCUGUAUGAUGGAUGUUGAGGUUCCACACCAACAUCCUUGAUGUUAUCAGAGAAUAAAAUAGUAAGAGGAACAUUUAUGGACUAAAGACGGAGGGCUGAAUCUUAAACUUGCAGAGAAUAGUAGCUAGGUCAAUAUACAGUAAAAAGAAUCCAAAUACUACUGGUUGUAACUUUUUUUGGAAGAAAUUAUGGCUCACGAUAUUGUUUUCAAGUUUAGGAUUCAGAGAGAUCAACACUUUAUCUUUUUAUCUUUUUAUUCAGACGGAAAGUAUGGCUUAAAAUAUUGGCUAUACAACUUUGCGAGAGAGUUAAAUUGGGUAGAUUCAGAAAGAGAAUGUAGCUACAUUAUUUUACCAUUUAUGCUCAUGAAAUUCAUCUUGUUGCUGUUCAAUGUACAAUCCAGCAGAUCAACAGCAGCGACAGUGAUGACUUGCGUCGUCCCUGAAGACUGAUGGAGAGCACAGCCUCCCCUAUGAGAAGUAGGUUGGCAUCCCUGCUGUAUUGACUAUCACCGUCCUACCUAUAGCCGCCUCACAUCUUUGCCGUUACAUUGAAGCCCUUCCACGCGUCCUACUGCCCCCAUCUAUGAGCAGAUUUGAUUUUUUUCCCUCAAAUUUACUCAUUGUGGUCGAGCUGUAUUGUUCUUCUAGAGAAAAAUUUCAUUCUAUCUGUGUUGAUAUUCUUUUCUGAAGUUCUCUUUCUAUCUACUUGGUCACACCGAACGCCCAGGGAAAGAUAAGCUCCAAUCACUUGCUGUAGCAGCCCUGCUCCACCUGGUUACUUGUUUAUGCCCACAUGUUAGUGGAAUAGCCCUUUAUCAAUUUUUUAUGUGGGCAUAUGUUAUCUUCAAAUAUGUAUUAAAGUGAUUAUAUAUAAUUGUGGAUGUUCUUAAUUAUUAUUUUUCCAGACAAUA